Molecule: ribosomal RNA, 447 nt
Filed under: uncultured bacterium
Lineage: Bacteria
Description: bacterial SSU rRNA
Rfam family: Bacterial small subunit ribosomal RNA
Source: RNAcentral
CGCCAGACUCCUACGGGAGGCAGCAGUGGGGAAUAUUGCACAAUGGGGGAAACCCUGAUGCAGCGACGCCGCGUGAGUGAAGAAGUAUUUCGGUACGUAAAGCCCUAUCAGCAGGGAAGAAAAUGACGGUACCUGAGUAAGAAGCCCCGGCUAACUACGUGCCAGCAGCCGCGGUAAUACGUAGGGGGCAAGCGUUAUCCGGAUUUACUGGGUGUAAAGGGAGCGUAGACGGCAGUGCAAGUCUGAAGUGAAAGCCCCGGGCUUAACCCGGGAACUGCUUUGGAAACUGUACGGCUGGAGUGCUGGAGAGGUAAGCGGAAUUCCUAGUGUAGCGGUGAAAUGCGUAGAUAUUAGGAGGAACACCAGUGGCGAAGGCGGCUUACUGGACAGUAACUGACGUUGAGGCUCGAAAGCGUGGGGAGCAAACAGGAUUAGAUACCCCUGUAC